GACGUAGGAGGCGAGCGUUGUCCGGAUUUACUGGGCGUAAAGCGCGCGCAGGCGGUCGCGCAGGUCAUCUGUGAAAGCCCCCGGCUCAACCGGGCGGAUGCGGGUGAAACCGCGCGACUUGAGGGUGGGAGAGGUCGGUGGAAUUCCCGGUGUAGUGGUGAAAUGCGUAGAUAUCGGGAGGAACACCCGUAGCGAAGGCGGCCGACUGGACCACACCUGACGCUGAGGCGCGAAGGCCAGGGGAGCGAACGGG
RNAcentral lists this ribosomal RNA (253 nucleotides) under uncultured bacterium. Its description in RNAcentral is "partial 16S ribosomal RNA". It matches the Rfam family "Bacterial small subunit ribosomal RNA", at positions 524 to 776 of the family's 1533-position model. The record is from RNAcentral.